CGAACUCUGGUAUUGAUUGGUGCUUGCAUCAUGAUUUACAUUUGAGUGAGUGGCGAACUGGUGAGUAACACGUGGGAAACCUGCCCAGAAGCGGGGGAUAACACCUGGAAACAGAUGCUAAUACCGCAUAACAACUUGGACCGCAUGGUCCGAGCUUGAAAGAUGGCUUCGGCUAUCACUUUUGGAUGGUCCCGCGGCGUAUUAGCUAGAUGGUGGGGUAACGGCUCACCAUGGCAAUGAUACGUAGCCGACCUGAGAGGGUAAUCGGCCACAUUGGGACUGAGACACGGCCCAAACUCCUACGGGAGGCAGCAGUAGGGAAUCUUCCACAAUGGACGAAAGUCUGAUGGAGCAACGCCGCGUGAGUGAAGAAGGGUUUCGGCUCGUAAAACUCUGUUGUUAAAGAAGAACAUAUCUGAGAGUAACUGUUCAGGUAUUGACGGUAUUUAACCAGAAAGCCACGGCUAACUACGUGCCAGCAGCCGCGGUAAUACGUAGGUGGCAAGCGUUGUCCGGAUUUAUUGGGCGUAAAGCGAGCGCAGGCGGUUUUUUAAGUCUGAUGUGAAAGCCUUCGGCUCAACCGAAGAAGUGCAUCGGAAACUGGGAAACUUGAGUGCAGAAGAGGACAGUGGAACUCCAUGUGUAGCGGUGAAAUGCGUAGAUAUAUGGAAGAACACCAGUGGCGAAGGCGGCUGUCUGGUCUGUAACUGACGCUGAGGCUCGAAAGUAUGGGUAGCAAACAGGAUUAGAUACCCUGGUAGUCCAUACCGUAAACGAUGAAUGCUAAGUGUUGGAGGGUUUCCGCCCUUCAGUGCUGCAGCUAACGCAUUAAGCAUUCCGCCUGGGGAGUACGGCCGCAAGGCUGAAACUCAAAGGAAUUGACGGGGGCCCGCACAAGCGGUGGAGCAUGUGGUUUAAUUCGAAGCUACGCGAAGAACCUUACCAGGUCUUGACAUACUAUGCAAAUCUAAGAGAUUAGACGUUCCCUUCGGGGACAUGGAUACAGGUGGUGCAUGGUUGUCGUCAGCUCGUGUCGUGAGAUGUUGGGUUAAGUCCCGCAACGAGCGCAACCCUUAUUAUCAGUUGCCAGCAUUAAGUUGGGCACUCUGGUGAGACUGCCGGUGACAAACCGGAGGAAGGUGGGGAUGACGUCAAAUCAUCAUGCCCCUUAUGACCUGGGCUACACACGUGCUACAAUGGAUGGUACAACGAGUUGCGAACUCGCGAGAGUAAGCUAAUCUCUUAAAGCCAUUCUCAGUUCGGAUUGUAGGCUGCAACUCGCCUACAUGAAGUCGGAAUCGCUAGUAAUCGCGGAUCAGCAUGCCGCGGUGAAUACGUUCCCGGGCCUUGUACACACCGCCCGUCACACCAUGAGAGUUUGUAACACCCAAAGUCGGUGGGGUAACCUUUUAGGAACCAGCCGCCUAAAGUGCGACAGAUGAUUA
This 1445-nucleotide ribosomal RNA is filed under the name Lactiplantibacillus plantarum subsp. plantarum. RNAcentral's name for it is "bacterial SSU rRNA". It matches the Rfam family "Bacterial small subunit ribosomal RNA". Lineage: Bacteria; Bacillati; Bacillota; Bacilli; Lactobacillales; Lactobacillaceae. The record is from RNAcentral.